Molecule: non-coding RNA, 225 nt
Organism: Planktothrix serta PCC 8927
Lineage: Bacteria; Bacillati; Cyanobacteriota; Cyanophyceae; Oscillatoriales; Microcoleaceae
Source: Rfam
GUCAGCACCCCGCUCUGAAGAGACGGGGCUUCAUGCCUCUCCUUUGGAUAGCUGACCAGCCUUAGCCUUAAAUGACUACGUUAUCGGGAAGCGUUAAAGUUCUUACCUUGGGAUGCGAAGCUAGUCCCAAGCUCUAAAACUCGGGCAUUUAAACAGUUUUACGAGGGGUAAGACAGUGAUGACCGAGAUAGUACCGACUGAUAACAUUGGCGAAGCUAACAUUAC